AGAACGAACGCUGGCGGCAGGCUUAACACAUGCAAGUCGAGCGCCCCGCAAGGGGAGCGGCAGACGGGUGAGUAACGCGUGGGAACAUACCCUCCGGUUCGGAAUAGCCCAGGGAAACUUGGAUUAAUACCGGAUACGGCCUAGCGGCGAAAGAUUCAUCGCCGGAGGAUUGGCCCGCGUUCGAUUAGCUAGUUGGUGAGGUAACGGCUCACCAAGGCGACGAUCGAUAGCUGGUCUGAGAGGAUGAUCAGCCACAUUGGGACUGAGACACGGCCCAAACUCCUACGGGAGGCAGCAGUGGGGAAUAUUGGACAAUGGGCGCAAGCCUGAUCCAGCCAUGCCGCGUGAGUGAUGACGGCCUUAGGGUUGUAAAGCUCUUUCGCUAGGGACGAUAAUGACGGUACCGCAAGAAUAAGCCCCGGCUAACUUCGUGCCAGCAGCCGC
This 444-nucleotide ribosomal RNA is filed under the name uncultured bacterium. RNAcentral's name for it is "SSU rRNA". It matches the Rfam family "Bacterial small subunit ribosomal RNA", at positions 26 to 518 of the family's 1533-position model. The record is from RNAcentral.